UACAUCAUUACAUCCAAAUGACUAUUAUUAGCUAACAUGUAAUGCAUGUGUUACGCAGGUAUGUAGUUACAUCAUUACAUCCAAAUGACUAUUAUUAGCUAACAACAGCCACAUGUAAUGCAUGUGUUACGCAGGUAUGUAGUUACAUCAUUACAUCCAAAUGACUAUUAUUAGCUAACAACUAAUGCAUGUGUUACGCAGGUAUGUAGUUACAUCAUUACAUCCAAAUGACUAUUAUUAGCUAACAUCUAAUGCAUGUGUUACGCAGGUAUGUAGUUACAUCAUUACAUCCAAAUGACUAUUAUUAGCUAACAACUAAUGCAUGUGUUACGCAGGUAUGUAGUUACAUCAUUACAUCCAAAUGACUAUUAUUAGCUUACAACUAAUGCAUGUGUUACGCAGGUAUGUAGUUACAUCAUUACAUCCAAAUGACUAUUAUUAGCUAACAUCUAAUGCAUGUGUUACGCAGGUAUGUAGUUACAUCAUUACGUCCAAAUGACUAUUAUUAGCUAACAUCUAAUGCAUGUGUUACGCAGGUAUGUAGUUACAUCAUUACAUCCAAAUGACUAUUAUUAGCUAACAACUAAUGCAUGUGUUACGCAGGUAUGUAGUUACAUCAUUACAUCCAAAUGACUAUUAUUAGCUAACAACUAAUGCAUGUGUUACGCAGGUAUGUAGUUACAUCAUUACAUCCAAAUGACUAUUAUUAGCUAACAUCUAAUGCAUGUGUUACGCAGGUAUGUAGUUACAUCAUUACAUCCAAAUGACUAUUAUUAGCUAACAUCUAAUGCAUGUGUUACGCAGGUAUGUAGUUACAUCAUUACGUCCUAGAAGCUGAAAGAAGGAGGGAUAUGCUGUGUGAAAUCAAUUGGAAAGUUAGCGCCCUCUAGACAUCUGUGUAAAUGUUGCAAACAGCCCCUUUAAGGGCUUUGCAAAUGUUCCAGUCUGAAGUGAGACCUUAACUAGAUGAAGGAAUUGUGCUGACAAACUGCUCAGCACAGACUUUAGAAAUAUAGCGGCAGGGUAUCCGCGGAUCCUUAAAAAGUCUUAAAAAGUCUUAAAUUCAUGUAUCUAAAAUUAAGGCCUUAAAAAGUAUUACAUUUAUUAGAAAUUCCUAAGAUGGUCUUAAAUUCAGUACUCAAUGGUCUUAAAUUGUCGGGCCAGUUUUGGGGGGGUUUUUUUCGGGGCACGUCUUUGAGUAAAAGUUACAGCACGUCUUUGAGUAAAAGUGAGUGAUUUCAGUGUCAGUCGCGCGCAUAGUCGGGUCGCACGCAGACUCCUUCCUUUCUUCCUGGCGUCCCGCCUUUCAGUCAGCAUGGGGAAAUGCAAGUUUUGCGAGUGUUGGCUGGAGGACAGCCGGUUUAAAAGCUGUCUUAAGCCUGUUGCCAAUCCCGAGGAGGCCAGGUGCUUACUUUGUAAGAGGGAUUUCAAACAUGAGAAUUAGAGCUGUGGAAUCGCACAUGCAGUGCGGUAAGCAUAAAAUGGCGGCAGAGAGCCAAAAACAAACACCGGGCAUCUCUCAGUUCUGCUUGGGUCCAGCGCCAACACCCCCCCCAGCUAGCAACAACUGCCGCUAGCAGCACUGACCUGACACUAAUCUUCGGCGGGACAGCAACAUUAAAAUCCCAGGUGUUAUGGAUCUUGCACACUGUGGUGAAACAUCAAUCCUACACCUCAACUGACGGGAUUGGCCAUCUUUUUCGUGUGAUGUUUCCUGAUUCUCAGGUUGCUAAUACAUUUUCCUGGGGAAGGGAUAAAACAGCAUAUAUUAGCAGACACGGAUUAGCACCUCACAUCCAAAAGCUGCUAUUCGACUAAGUCAACGGGUCUCGGUAUGUGUUAAUGUUCGAUGAAACACUGAAUCACAGCACGAAGAAGAAACAACUGGAUGUCCAUGUUUUGUUGUUAAUGUUAUAAUACUGUUUUGCACUAUUAUUGACCAAAUGUCAUUUAUUUUUACCCUCACCUGGGUUAUUAUGUUUUUACUGGCGUUGGUGUUGCUUUGUUUGUUUUGGAUUUCAAAGUUUUUGGAUCUCUCAAGAUUUUUGAUAAGCUGUUUGGCAGAGUGGUGCUUAUCAGUUUGUUUAUUAAUAAACAUACAAAAAGUAAACUUGACUGAUUGUCAUUGAGGUUGUAGUACAGUGGGAUCCCCAACCAUCGCUUAUAUUUAUAGAUUUUUUUAUCAUUUUUUCCGGUCUUAAAUUUCACUCAAGGUGGCAUUAAAAAGGUCUUAAAAAGUCUUACAUUUGACUUGCUGAAACCUGCAGAUACCCUGUAGUGGGUAACUCAUCAAGGUGUGUAUGUUAAUGUUAGAUAUGUGCCGUCUCCAAGCAGAAGAACAUCUUUCACCUUGGCUCUUGGCACAGUUGUUGUGUCCAUCUGACGCUUUCUGCUGACUUCACCCAUUUUAGACUUUUCUUUCUGUUUGGGAUCGUCAGUCACAUUUGGCACUUCUGCCUUGCAUGGGUUAGAUUCCAAGCCAGUGUUGGAUCAGGAAGUAAAAACUAAAGCUGAAACAAUUCAUGCCAUUGAAUCGCUGUGGCCAAACUACUAAAAGUGGGAGCAGGGGAAAAGUGUGAGGCUGAAUCUUCUGGUGGCAAAGCAUCCAAGAAAAGGAAAGUGAAAUGUGAAAUCCGACACGGUAAAGCCAAACAUUGACUGGACGCUUGUUUCAAGCCACUUAAAGUCCUACUGAAAGCCACUACUAGCCACCACGCAGUCUGAUAGUUUAUAUAUCAAUGAUGAAAUAUUAACAUUGCAACACAUGCCAAUACGGCCGCUUUAGUUUAAUAAAUUGCAAUUUUAAAUUUCCCGUGAAGUAUCCUGUUGAAAACGUUGCGGUAUGAUGACGCGUAUGAUGAGGCGUGCGCGUGAUGUCACGGAUUGUAGCGGACAUGUUGUUCCAGCCCCGAUCCCAGCUUUAAGUCGUCUGCUUUAAUCGCAUAAUGACACAGUAUUCUAGACAUCUGUGUUGCUGAAUCUUUUGCAAUUUGUUCAAUUAAUAAUGGAGACGUCAAAGAAGAAAGAUGUAGGUGGGAAGCGGUGUAUUGUGGCUGCCUUUAGCAACACAAACACAGCCGGUGUUUCCUUGUUUACAUUCCCGAAAGAUGACGUUGAAGCUUUACUAUGGAACAGAGCGGUCAAGCGAACACGGUUCCCUAACACAUGUCAAACGGCAGGUUUCGGUGAGAAAAUUGUGGUAAUAAGUUGGCUCUUACCGUAGACAUGCGCGGAGAGCAUGCGUCGUUCCUCCUGCACCUGUCAAAGAGGCAGCUGCGGACUCUCUUGCCUCCUCCGACCGGCUGCCCCCGAACGUGGGAUGCUUCCACCGUGGAGGAGGGGGAAGAAAAGCUCAGCCUGGCCCUAAUGGCUGCCUUCGCUUCGCCUUGUCGGGAAACGUGGCUUCCCUCAGAGACACUGGCGGUCACCACACCCGUGGCCACACCCCUCCGACUUUCAGGUACCAUAUAAUCUCACUAAAACACUAGUAACGCUCUCAACUGCUCAGCGGAAUCUCAGAGAGCUGAAAGUUUUUUGAUAAUUUACACACAAUUUUUCUAACAGUAACACAAUAAGCAGAUAAGGGAUUUUCCAGAAUUAUCCUAGUAAAUGUGUUUAAUAACAUCUGAACCGCUCCCACUGCCGUCGCCUUUUUUUUCAUUUUUUUCAUAGUCCUUCACUCUAACUUUCCUCAUCCACAAAUCUUUCAUCCUCGCUCAAAUUAAUGGGGAAAUUGUCGCUUUCUCGGUCCGAAUCACUCUAGCUGCUGGUGGCCAUGAUUGUAAACAAUGUUCAGAUGUGAGGAGCUCCACAACCCGUGACGUCACGCGCACAUUGUCUGCUACUUCUGGUACAGGCAAGGCUUUUUUAUUAGCGACCAAAAGUUGCGAACUUUAUCGUGGAUGUUCUCUACUAAAUACUUUCAGCAGAAAUAUGGCAAUAUGGCGAAAUGAUGAAGUAUGACACAUAGAAUGGAGCUGCUAUCCCCCUUUAAAUGAGAACAUCUCAUUUCAGUAGGCCUUUAAGAGCAGGGACCAUCAUGAAAGAUAAAGAUGGUACAUUUCAACAUGAUAAGAUCUGCUACUAUGAAUAUUACUGAGUUACCUGUUACAUCUCAGGACAACAGGUGUGUACUUGUGGUUUAAAGACUACUUUACACGCUAUGUCAACCUUUUCCAGCGUGUCUUUACAGUAGCAAAAUGUAUGUUUGAGGACUAUAUCAGACAACAUGGGUUGCCAGAGUGUAGUCACACAGACCAGGUAGGCAAUUGGAGUCAGACCUUGUAAAACACUUUGGAAAACCUUGCUGGAAUAGUUACCUCUACUGCCCCCCAGUGGCCGUUAGAAAGGAUGCACACAUUUUGUGUUGAAGUCCUUAAAGCUGUCUUUCACUUUUUGUCUUGUCCUUUGUGUCCCAGAUGAAGUCGUGAGUGGCUCGGGGGAGGAUAGGCGGGACAUUAGCUUUUCUUUUUUACAAGAACUUUGCUGACAAAAGGCAAGUGUUUGUGGGCGUUACUGUACAUGUUGGUAUUGAUCACACCACCCAGUAAAUUCAAGGAACGUUUUCAAAAUCAUUGAAUGGUUUAGACUUUCAUUUUGUGAACAAUAUAAACAUAUAUUAAUAUAAACAUAUGGAGGAGUCAGAUGGGGUGGUUAGGGCAUCUGGUCAGGAUGCCACCUGAACGCAUAGGGAGGUGUUUAGGACACGUCUGACCGGUAGGAGGCCACCAGGAAGACCCAGGACACCUUGGGAAGACUAUGUCUCCGGGAUGGCCUGGGAACGCCUCGGGAUCCAGGAGCUGGACGAAGUGGCUGGGGAGAGCGAAGUGUGGGUUUCCCUGCUUAGGCUGCUGCCCCCGCGACCCGACCUCAGAUAAGCGGAAGAAGACGGAUGGAUGGAUGAAUAAACAUAUAUGAAUACAACAAUAGUCGUGUGGAGAGAGAGUUUGGCCAACCCGGGUUUGGAGUCAGUGUCUAACAAGGCGCCCUCUAGUCACCUGAGGGGAUUUGACCAACUAUUACAUCUCAUGCUCUUCUUUCACCCUUUCAAUUGUCAAUCAACCUGGCAUCCAUCAGUCAACCUGGUGUUCAGAGGGAAUAAAAAAAAGGGAAUAAGCGGUAGAAAAUGGAUGGACAAGGUGUAUCGCCACAAUUUUAACCACUUCUGUCAUUGCAACGAAUGACGCACGGGGGCGCCACUAACUCCCAUCGCAUCAUUUAUUUUUUAAAUGAUGAUAUUUUUUAAAUGAAGCACUUACUAAAAACCUAACAAAAAAUAUAUUUUACCUUUUCAGAAAUAAAUGAAUUAUUAUAAAAGAGUAAAAAAAAUCGUUUUGUUUUCCAUUUAAGGCUGCUAGAUACAUCUUUAAGGUGUGCGAUUUCAUAAAGAACAACGUAUUUUUUAAUGUUUGUUUUGUAUGUAAUGGUUUAUGAUGACAUUGUUAUUGAAGUACAGAUGACACCAAAGAACGCGACCCCAAAAGGGGAAUAAGCGGUAGAAAAUGGAUCGAUGGAAGGACUAAAGAAGCAUGGUAAGUAAGUGAGGGCUUCACGGUGGCAGAGGGGUUAGUGCGUCUGCCUCACAAUACGAAGGUCCUACAAUCCUGGGUUCAAAUCCAGGCUCGGGAUCUUUCUGUGUGGAGUUUGCAUGUUCUCCCCGUGAAUGCGUGGGUUCCCUCCGGGUACUCCGGCUUCCUCCCACUUCCAAAGACAUGCACCUGGGGAUAGGUUGAUUGGACCGAUGGGGUGAUAAAGCAAGAUGGCGUCUGACGGAGAAGGCCUAAAGGCGGGCAUUAUAUUUCUGUAUUUUUACAUAUAUGUUGUUUCAUAGAGUACACACGGUUAAUAAUUGUUUGUAGCCGGAUACAUCAGUCUGAGUUUACUUCUCCUGUUUGAUAGCUUCACUUAAGGUAGCUUGCAGCUAGUUUAGCUGGCUAGUUAGCUUAGCUUGUUAGCUGCUAACAAAGAGACAAGGACGUUAUUUAAACAUCGCUAAGUAGGGAACUAAUGUGAGUGUAAAGUCUUGUGAUUGUGGGAAAAUGUGCCAAAGAAGGAGAGCAAAGUACGAGGAGGAACUUUGUCCAAGAAAAGAGGAGAAGGAGCGACAACAUCAACUACUGGAUGUUUAUUAUAGGAAACAUCAUCAAGUUGUGUUACACAGAACAGCUUUGUUUACUUCUUACUCUCACAUCUUUACUAACUUUAUACUUCAUUACAAACAUCAUUCUUAAAUAUAUUGUGGAUGACAAGUUUGGUUGUCUUGUGAGGAUGAUGUAAAUACAGUUGUGUUCAAAAGUUUACAUACACUUGUAAAGAACAUCAUGUCAUGGCCAUUUGCAAUCAUUUCUACAACCCUUAUUUUGUGUGAUGUAGUGAUUGGAGCACAUACUUGUUGCUCACUAAA
Molecule: long non-coding RNA, 6403 nt
Organism: Nerophis ophidion (straightnose pipefish)
Lineage: Eukaryota; Metazoa; Chordata; Actinopteri; Syngnathiformes; Syngnathidae
Exons: 3
Source: RefSeq, a predicted model, not a curated record